Molecule: small nuclear RNA, 21 nt
Filed under: Arabidopsis thaliana (thale cress)
Lineage: Eukaryota; Viridiplantae; Streptophyta; Magnoliopsida; Brassicales; Brassicaceae
Description: snRNA_11202
Source: RNAcentral
CCCAGGAGGUCACCCAUCCUA